Molecule: transfer RNA, 73 nt
Filed under: Lactobacillus delbrueckii subsp. bulgaricus
Lineage: Bacteria; Bacillati; Bacillota; Bacilli; Lactobacillales; Lactobacillaceae
Description: tRNA-Ala
Rfam family: tRNA
About the family: Transfer RNA (tRNA) molecules are approximately 80 nucleotides in length. Their secondary structure includes four short double-helical elements and three loops (D, anti-codon, and T loops).
Source: RNAcentral
GGGGGCAUAGCUCAGCUGGGAGAGCACCUGCUUUGCAAGCAGGAGGUCAUCGGUUCGAUCCCGUUUGCCUAAG